This 253-nucleotide ribosomal RNA is filed under the name uncultured bacterium. RNAcentral describes it as "partial 16S ribosomal RNA". It matches the Rfam family "Bacterial small subunit ribosomal RNA", at positions 524 to 776 of the family's 1533-position model. The record is from RNAcentral.
UACGAAGGGUGCAAGCGUUAAUCGGAAUUACUGGGCGUAAAGCGUGCGUAGGCGGUUUCUUAAGUCCGUUGUGAAAGCCCUGGGCUCAACCUGGGAACUGCGAUGGAUACUGAGGAGCUGGAGUACGGUAGAGGAAGGUGGAAUUCCCGGUGUAGCGGUGAAAUGCGUAGAUAUUGGGAAGAACACCGGUGGCGUAGGCGACUCGCUGGGCUGUAACUGACGCUGAGGAACGAAAGCCAGGGGAGCGAAUGGG